CCAUACUUGUCAAAUCAUUUCCUAAGGGACUUUAAUUGUCCAAAAACAAGAAACCCAUACUUGAAACCCUAACAGAAAAAUCAAAACAGUAAAAUAAACAUCGAGACUAAACCCAAAUUACUCCAAAAAUCUAAGAAAACCCAGCAGCUUCACUUGUCUUGCAAUCAACACCUCUCGUCUACCACCAUCAUUCCAUCUUUUGUCGGUCUAUACCAAAAUCGUCCGCGAUAGGUCCUUGUAGAAGUAGAAACCGUCAGAGUUUUUAAAUGAUUUGUUCCUCCGACCCAUACCAUCCGUCGUUCAGUGGCCUUCUAUCCUUUCUGAGUAUCAUUUCCACCCUGUGAGGGGCCUCCUCAAUCCAUACCCUUUGAUCUGGCCAUUUCUUGCCUUUUUCAACCAUCUCAUGCGUUGCCUGGUUCGCUGAUCGUCCCACGAAAGAGCAUUCAAAGAAUCCCCUUCUACUGUCCGAUUUCAAAAGCCCAACUCCUCAGCCACCGUCACUGCUUGGAGCCUCAGCCACCGUCACUGCUUGGAGGCACGCUUUCACUUUCGUCGUGGUAGCGUCUGUCAAAAUAAGUCCUUCACUAUCUCUGAACAUGAUUCCCAUAACUAAUUUAAGCAAAUAAUUGUUGUAAGCUGCGUCAAAAUUGCAUUUGACAGAUGUUGCUAUUUCUUUUACUAUACUGGUACUUUCUGCCUUGUAUGCUUUAAUAAAUGUUAUUACCCUGUCUGUAUUCAUCUUUUCGCCCUGAUGGUGGAUUUUAUUUCUUUUCUACCAAAUCACCCAUAAAGCAAUAGCUAAAUAUUCUCUUUGUUCU
Gossypium raimondii (Peruvian cotton) is the source of this 818-nucleotide long non-coding RNA. RefSeq lists it as uncharacterized. The record is from RefSeq and is a predicted model, not a curated record. NCBI's taxonomy places the organism in Eukaryota, Viridiplantae, Streptophyta, Magnoliopsida, Malvales, Malvaceae. The transcript is spliced from 2 exons.